GGUUAAGCGACUAAGCGUACACGGUGGAUGCCCUGGCAGUCAGAGGCGAUGAAGGGCGUGCUAAUCUGCGAUAAGCGCCGGUAAGGUGAUAUGAACCGUUAUAACCGGCGAUACCCGAAUGGGGAAACCCAGUGUGACUCGUCACACUAUCAUUAACUGAAUCCAUAGGUUAAUGAGGCGAACCGGGGGAACUGAAACAUCUAAGUACCCCGAGGAAAAGAAAUCAACCGAGAUUCCCCCAGUAGCGGCGAGCGAACGGGGAGGAGCCCAGAGCCUGAAUCAGCAUGUGUGUUAGUGGAAGCGUCUGGAAAGGCGCGCGAUACAGGGUGACAGCCCCGUACACAAAAGCGCAUGUGCUGUGAGCUCGAUGAGUAGGGCGGGACACGUGGUAUCCUGUCUGAAUAUGGGGGGACCAUCCUCCAAGGCUAAAUACUCCUGACUGACCGAUAGUGAACCAGUACCGUGAGGGAAAGGCGAAAAGAACCCCGGCGAGGGGAGUGAAAAAGAACCUGAAACCGUGUACGUACAAGCAGUGGGAGCACAGGUUUACCUGUGUGACUGCGUACCUUUUGUAUAAUGGGUCAGCGACUUAUAUUCUGUAGCAAGGUUAACCGAAUAGGGGAGCCGGAGGGAAACCGAGUCUUAAUUGGGCGUUAAGUUGCAGGGUAUAGACCCGAAACCCGGUGAUCUAGCCAUGGGCAGGUUGAAGGUUGGGUAACACUAACUGGAGGACCGAACCGACUAAUGUUGAAAAAUUAGCGGAUGACCUGUGGCUGGGGGUGAAAGGCCAAUCAAACCGGGAGAUAGCUGGUUCUCCCCGAAAGCUAUUUAGGUAGCGCCUCGUGAACUCAUCUCCGGGGGUAGAGCACUGUUUCGGCUAGGGGGCCAUCCCGGCUUACCAACCCGAUGCAAACUGCGAAUACCGGAGAAUGUUAUCACGGGAGACACACGGCGGGUGCUAACGUCCGUCGUGAAGAGGGAAACAACCCAGACCGCCAGCUAAGGUCCCAAAGUCAUGGUUAAGUGGGAAACGAUGUGGGAAGGCCCAGACAGCCAGGAUGUUGGCUUAGAAGCAGCCAUCAUUUAAAGAAAGCGUAAUAGCUCACUGGUCGAGUCGGCCUGCGCGGAAGAUGUAACGGGGCUAAACCAUGCACCGAAGCUGCGGCAGCGA
This 1171-nucleotide ribosomal RNA is filed under the name Salmonella enterica. RNAcentral's name for it is "partial 23S ribosomal RNA". It matches the Rfam family "Bacterial large subunit ribosomal RNA", at positions 1 to 1211 of the family's 2925-position model. RNAcentral also lists the same sequence under 1 other name. Lineage: Bacteria; Pseudomonadati; Pseudomonadota; Gammaproteobacteria; Enterobacterales; Enterobacteriaceae. The record is from RNAcentral.